This 428-nucleotide ribosomal RNA is filed under the name Pseudoalteromonas sp. AmSamW55. Its description in RNAcentral is "bacterial SSU rRNA". It matches the Rfam family "Bacterial small subunit ribosomal RNA", at positions 78 to 509 of the family's 1533-position model. The record is from RNAcentral. Lineage: Bacteria; Pseudomonadati; Pseudomonadota; Gammaproteobacteria; Alteromonadales; Pseudoalteromonadaceae.
UUGCUAGAGAUGACGAGCGGCGGACGGGUGAGUAAUGCUUGGGAACAUGCCUUGAGGUGGGGGACAACCAUUGGAAACGAUGGCUAAUACCGCAUAAUGUCUACGGACCAAAGGGGGCUUCGGCUCUCGCCUUUAGAUUGGCCCAAGUGGGAUUAGCUAGUUGGUGAGGUAAAGGCUCACCAAGGCGACGAUCCCUAGCUGGUUUGAGAGGAUGAUCAGCCACACUGGAACUGAGACACGGUCCAGACUCCUACGGGAGGCAGCAGUGGGGAAUAUUGCACAAUGGGCGCAAGCCUGAUGCAGCCAUGCCGCGUGUGUGAAGAAGGCCUUCGGGUUGUAAAGCACUUUCAGUCAGGAGGAAAGGUUAGUAGUUAAUACCUGCUAGCUGUGACGUUACUGACAGAAGAAGCACCGGCUAACUCCGUGCC